RNAcentral lists this unclassified non-coding RNA (376 nucleotides) under soil metagenome. Its description in RNAcentral is "partial contains 5.8S ribosomal RNA, internal transcribed spacer 2, and large subunit ribosomal RNA". The stretch from base 1 to 120 matches the Rfam family "5.8S ribosomal RNA", at positions 35 to 154 of the family's 154-position model. The record is from RNAcentral.
GAUGAAGAACGUAGCGAAAUGCGAUAAGUAAUGUGAAUUGCAGAAUUCAGUGAAUCAUCGAAUCUUUGAACGCAUCUUGCGCUCCUUGGUAUUCUGAGGAGCAUGCCUGUUUGAGUGUCAUUAAAUUCUCAACUACACUGACUUUGAAUUGGUGUGGCUUGGAUUUGGGGGGAAAAUUGUUGUGGGCUUUUUGUAUAGUCUGCUCCCCUGAAAUUGAUUAGCGGUACCUUUGUGGAACUGUCUACAGGUGUGAUAAUUAUCUACAUCUUAGACAUCUGCUGGAAUGCUGCUCUCUAAACCUUACUUGUAUUGACAAUCUUGACCUCAAAUCAGGUAGGACUACUCGCUGAACUUAAGCAUAUCAAUAAGCGGAGGA